Non-coding RNA from Heterocephalus glaber (naked mole-rat), 3022 nucleotides. The record is from RefSeq and is a predicted model, not a curated record. Lineage: Eukaryota; Metazoa; Chordata; Mammalia; Rodentia; Bathyergidae.
GCGGCUCUGAGUGUGGCGCCGGCCGUCAGUAUUCCCCGGAUGCCUAAAGAGUUAGUACGGGUAGAAAUUGCCCAGCACGUUAGGGGUGUGGACGCGGUGUGUAGGAAGUCUCCCUGCUUUCCACAGCCCCCGAGUUGGGAGAAAUGACAAUUUGCUUUUCUCCAAAGGUAAACAGAGGCAAGAUCGUAAUGGUUCUGAUACCUGAUUAGCAUGGAACUGUGUACUUCAGGCUGGCCUUGAGCUUACUAUGUAGUAUAGGGUUGGCCUCGAAGGAGAUCCUCCUACUUCAGCCUCCCGAGUGCUGGGAUUACAGGUGUGUGCCAUCAUGCCCAGAUUCCUUUAGAAAGAUUUAAUAAGAAUCUAUAUAAUUUUGUCAACCAAAGAGCAAAAGUGUUUGAUGAUGCACUGGACUAUUUCGCAGCUUCUCCAAGGGCUUUGAUUUUGUCCAGUGUUUUAUUUUCACCUUUUUUUAUGAGGCUCUGCUGGUGCAGGCUGACUUAUUGCCUGGAUUGACUGCGCCAGUUUGGCUGGGUGACAGAUAUCUUCUCUUUGCCUCUCCCACUUGAUGUUUCUCCUCUAGAAACUGCACUCAUAGAGGACUGCCUUCCCAGAUGGAUCGUUUUGAUGUCCUUUCCCUCAGCUCUGUCACAUUUGAGUGUGACUUAAAGACUAUGUGGCAGUAUUUUGAAAUAAUGUGUCAGAACUUCGGAGCUAGGGGAUGGACUGGAGCUUAGUGGUGAGCGCUUGCCUAGCAUGGGCCAGGCCCUGGCUUCCACCCCCAGAACCACAGAAAAGAACCCCCAGAAUUAUGUGUGAUUGAAAUAAAAUUUUGGUACUGCUGGGGUCAAAUCUUGAUUCAGAUCUUUUCUCUGCCUAACUACAGUUGUUUUGAGGAUUGAACGAGGCAGUAUACAUAAAAAAUAAUAAUCACAGCUAAUUGCUUAAGGCACACAAUCAAUGGUAGGUGGUCUCUGUUUGUGUUAAGAGUACCUUAUUUUUGGUAUCUGGGAUCGAACUCAGGACCUUGCACUUGCAAGGCAGGUGCAGCACCACUGAGCUAAAUUCUCCACCCGAAUACCUUGUUAUGGUGACGCUUUAUUUAAUGCUGAAAGUAGCAAUCUCUAUAGAAGAACAAGUAACUACAGAGUUAAGGGUAGUAGAUUAAGAUGGUAAAUAUUAGAUAAUCCCUAAUUCUGACAACUACUAUAUCAUUGUAGUGCACUGAACAACCAAUUUCUUGACUAUUCAGAUAUAUAUAUAUAUAUCUCCUCACUAAAUCACGAGGUUGUCCAGGCUAGGCUUGAUCUUGUGAUUCUUCUGCCUCAGCCUCCCAGAGUGCUGGGAUUACAGGCGUGUGCCACUAUACCCAGGUGAAAAAAACCCACUCUCCACAAUGGGCUAGGGGAGGAAUUGUGAAGGCCCAGGCUUUCAAGUUGGACUGGGAGAAAGGAGGAAGAAGUUGGGAACGAUAUAAGAACACAUAGAGAAAGAGAUACAGACUUGAAAGAGAGAAAAUUCACAUAUAAGGAGCCGGGAAUCAUGGGAUUAUGUCUCCUGAUAGUAAAUUUGAAGAGACAAAGGAAAACAAAACACCCAGGGAGGUUCAAAAUAUGUUUUGUGUCCAUCAGUAUUAACUAUUGGAAUACUACUGCUUUUGUACUUUUUUUUCUUUGAGACAACCGUACAUUUAAUAGAGGUACAAUUCAUUGAAUUUUUGUUUAUGUAUUUAUUUCAUUCCAGUUUGAUUUAUUUUGUUACUUGUCAAAACAGUAGACAUUACUUAUUUUAUUUAUGAUAUAUUUCAGCUUAAAGUUAUGUUAUCAUAUGUGGAUGUAAAUAUAGAUUUGGUGUUUUGCAAAAAAGAAAAAAAAUGCAAGGAGGAAAAUGUGGUUUCCAAGGUGGUAUCUGUGGGACAGGUCACCUGUGCCACGGAAGGAGGUGCCACGGAAGGAAGUGCCACGUAACCUCACAGCCCAAGUGUAAAUUUAGUCCUCGCCCUACUGUGCUCUGUACAUAUUCUGCCCACCUAGGGCCGGGGAUUUAGCUCAGUGGUUUUGCCGCCUACUGUGCAAGUGCAAGGACCCAAGUUUGAUCCCCAGUACCAAAAAACAAAAACAAAACUCUGCCCACCUAGAUAAAAGCAGGUAAGGAAAAAUGCUCACGGGAAGCGAAGCACACCAAUGUUAAACAGCGUUUUCUCUCAUUCAUAGGGUUAGAGAUGAAUGUUCCUUUAAAGUUGUUUUAAUGAUUUCUACACUCUCCAAAAGCAUAUGUCAUCUUUAUAAUAAAAAUUUCACUUUUAAAUAUUCAAAAGAGCUACAUUCAAAACCCAUGACCCACCCAUAGGGAGCCAUAUGUUAAUUUCAUAAGCACUUAUGUAUGUAUCACAAUAUACUGUAGUGAUGCCACAUACACAAUCUCUCUGGUGGCUUCUAGCUUAUUUUAACUUCUAAAAAUUUAUAUAAGUCUGGGCAUGAUGACACACACCUGUAAUCUCAGCUAUUUGGGAGGUGGGACAGGUGGAUUGCAAAUUUGAGGACAGUGACAAGACCCUGUCUCAAAACAAAAAGUAAAAACGGCUGGGGAUGUAGCUCACUAGUAGAGUGUUUUGCCUAGCAUGUGUGUGAGGACCUGGGGUCCAAUCCCCAUACUGGAAAAAAGACUGGGGUGGGGAGGAGGAGAGAGGCAGAAGGGGAUGAGAAAUCAUCAGAAGUAGGCCUGCAAAUGCUCUGACAAGUAUUUUUGCUUUUUUUAGAAUUCUUAUGGAAAAAGGAGGAAGUAUUACAUGAAGAUAACUGAGAAUUAUAUUCAGAUAUAUACAUAAAAUUUGUUUUUGACUGGACAAUCUAAAAAAUGCAAAAAUGCACAUACUUUUAGAGGCUCGUAGACCUGGUGCCCACGAAGGUGCCGACCUUGGAUCAGAGCUCUGCCGGUGCCGCCCUGGAAUCCUAUCCAGAACAAGAUGGCUUUUUGAGAAGCAAUAAACAAAUUUUCUCUCAAUUUUCUAUAAUUUCCACAAACA